UUCAAACACCCAUCCUACUGUAGCCACAAGUCCCAUCAGAGACAACACAGGCUCUUUAAAGAAGGAAGAAUGGCUAUAAUAGUGUCACCUUUUUUCCUCCAACUCUAUUAUGACUUAUAACCCAGGCUGCUGCUUAAAAUUGAAAAGGAUCCAACAAAUGAUGAAUGCAGUCUGAGAAGGUCAUACUCGAAACAUAUUCAAUUAUCAUUUCACUCCUCGUCAUCAUCUUCCUCCUCAUCAUCCUCAUCUUCAACAUCAUCUACACCCUUCUCCUCUUCAUCAUCUUCAUCUUCAUCAUCGUCAAAAUCCUCUUCAUCAGCCUCAUUGUUAAAAUACUUCAAAGGAUUGGGCCAAAGAUCUUCCUUUAUUAUCUCAGCCACCUCAUCAGUGA
This 391-nucleotide unclassified non-coding RNA is filed under the name Hevea brasiliensis (rubber tree). The record is from RNAcentral. Lineage: Eukaryota; Viridiplantae; Streptophyta; Magnoliopsida; Malpighiales; Euphorbiaceae.